ACAGUGGACGCGAGCAUCUUGUUUUCUGUAGGUUAAGUUGUCAAGGGCGAACGGUGGAUGCCUUGGCACCAGGAGCCGAUGAAGGACGUGGGAGGCCGCGAUAGGCCUGGGGGAGCUGUCAACCAAGCUGUGAUCCCAGGGUGUCCGAAUGGGGAAACCUGACAUCAGUCAUGUGGUGUCACCUGCAUCUGAAUUCAUAGGGUGUAUGGGGGGAACGCGGGGAAGUGAAACAUCUCAGUACCCGUAGGAAGAGAAAACAACAGUGAUUCCGUGAGUAGUGGCGAGCGAAAGCGGAUCUAGCCUAAACUUGUGGCGUGUGAUACCUGUCAGGGGUUACGUCAUGGGGGUUGUGGGACCCACUUAUCAUAUCUGACAGUGUGGUGAGGAGUUAUAAAGUUGCAUGUUAGUCGAACGACGUGGGAAAGUCGGCCGUAGACGGUGAGAGCCCGGUAGACGAAAAUGUGUGACCUCCUUGUGGUGUUCCCGAGUAGCGGCGGACUCCUGUAAUCUGCCGUGAAUCUGCCAGGACCACCUGGUAAGGCUGAAUACUUCCUGGUGACCGAUAGCGGACAAGUACCGUGAGGGAAUGGUGAAAAGUACCCCGGGAGGGGAGUGAAAUAGUACCUGAAACCGUUCGCCUACAAUCCGUCAGAGCCUCCUUGUUGGGGUGAUGGCGUGCCUUUUGAAGAAUGAGCCUGCGAGUUAGUGGCAUGUGGCGAGGUUAACCCGUGUGGGGUAGCCGUAGCGAAAGCGAGUCUGAAGAGGGCGUCUUUAGUCGCAUGUUCUAGACCCGAAGCGGAGUGAUCUAGCCAUGGGCAGGUU
Molecule: ribosomal RNA, 822 nt
Filed under: Actinoplanes sp. ATCC 53533
Lineage: Bacteria; Bacillati; Actinomycetota; Actinomycetes; Micromonosporales; Micromonosporaceae
Description: partial 23S ribosomal RNA
Rfam family: Bacterial large subunit ribosomal RNA
Source: RNAcentral